UACGGAGGGUGCGAGCGUUAAUCGGAAUUACUGGGCGUAAAGCGUACGCAGGCGGUUGGUUAAGCGAGAUGUGAAAUCCCCGGGCUCAACCUGGGAACUGCAUUUCGAACUGGCCAACUAGAGUAUGAGAGAGGGUGGUAGAAUUUCAGGUGUAGCGGUGAAAUGCGUAGAUAUCUGAAGGAAUACCGAUGGCGAAGGCAGCCACCUGGUUCAAUACUGACGCUCAUGUACGAAAGCGUGGGGAGCAAACAGG
This 253-nucleotide unclassified non-coding RNA is filed under the name uncultured Alteromonadales bacterium. RNAcentral describes it as "contains 16S-23S intergenic spacer region". It matches the Rfam family "Bacterial small subunit ribosomal RNA", at positions 524 to 776 of the family's 1533-position model. The record is from RNAcentral. Lineage: Bacteria; Pseudomonadati; Pseudomonadota; Gammaproteobacteria; Alteromonadales.